AAGCAAUUUAGCCACAUCCUACUAUUACACAAAGCUCGCCCUAUGAAAGCUAUGCAGUUCAUUCAGAAAGAUUCAUCACUGCGAGUAGCAAACGUAUAGUCUUCUCACCCCCUAAAAAGCAUAUGAUGGAAACCAUACCAAUUGGACAAUUGAGGGCUAGACGGAUUUGCUCAUCGAAGACAUCUUUCCAACUUCAGACUAAUGAUUUAGAGAGGCGGUUUCGAGAUCAAGGCUAUAGCCAUCGAUGCUUGAAAAGAGCAUGUAAGAGAGUGAAAACCACCCCCAGACCACAACUUCUGCAACCGAAGGUGACCGGCUCCAUGACGCUGAUCCCGGAAGUCGUUGGGGAUGGCAUGUAUACAGUGAAUGCG
Long non-coding RNA from Hyla sarda, 371 nucleotides. RefSeq lists it as uncharacterized. The transcript is spliced from 3 exons. Lineage: Eukaryota; Metazoa; Chordata; Amphibia; Anura; Hylidae. The record is from RefSeq and is a predicted model, not a curated record.